This 52-nucleotide microRNA precursor is filed under the name Gallus gallus (chicken). RNAcentral describes it as "microRNA gga-mir-2985 precursor (gga-mir-2985-1)". The record is from miRBase by way of RNAcentral. Lineage: Eukaryota; Metazoa; Chordata; Aves; Galliformes; Phasianidae.
GUGGGUGGAAUAGUAUAACAAUAUACAUGUUGUUAUAGUAUUCCACCUUCCC